This is a long non-coding RNA of Corvus hawaiiensis (hawaiian crow), 335 nucleotides long. RefSeq lists it as uncharacterized. The transcript has 3 exons. Lineage: Eukaryota; Metazoa; Chordata; Aves; Passeriformes; Corvidae. The record is from RefSeq and is a predicted model, not a curated record.
CCAGCAUUUCCCAAUUCCCAGAAUUCCCAAAUUCCCCAGUUCCCGGUGUUCCCAAUUCCCGGCGUUCCUGGUGUUCCCCAUUCCCGGUGUUCCCAAAUUCCCAGCAUUUCCCAAUUCCCAGAAUUCCCAAAUUCUCCAGUUCCCGGUGUUCCGAAUUCCCGGCGUUCCCGGGUUCCUGGUGUUCCCAAUUCCCGGAGUUCCCAAAUUCCCAGCAUUUCCAAUUCCCAGAAUUCCCCAAAUUCCCCAGUUCCCGUGUGUUCCCAAUUCCCGGCGUUCCUGGGUUCCUGGUGUUCCCAGUUCCCAGCGUUCCCAAUUCCCGGAAUUCCCAAAUUCCC